This is a long non-coding RNA of Ahaetulla prasina, 3639 nucleotides long. RefSeq lists it as uncharacterized. The transcript is spliced from 2 exons. The record is from RefSeq and is a predicted model, not a curated record. Lineage: Eukaryota; Metazoa; Chordata; Lepidosauria; Squamata; Colubridae.
GAGGUAACAGUUGGUAAGAGUUGGACCUGGAACUAGGCGAGGGUUAAAAAGAAAUCGGCCUCGGAAGGCCGGCCCGGAGAUUGGAGAACGGGGAGCUGAUGAUGCAGCAAAGCCAACCCCCCCUCCCGCCCUUCUUUCUUUACGCGGCAGUUUGGGGGCCACGUGGAGAGGCCGGACUAAUAGGGCUCACGCAGCCCGCUUGUGUGUGGCCGGAGCGAUUGGGGAGGGGGGGCGCUUCCUUCCACGUGUUGGGGCGCGCAGCUCCCACCGAGGAGAGCCGAGGUAGCGGCGGCUGAUACAUCCGGCCCUGCAGAGCCUCCUGAAAGGCGGAGGAGGAGCGCCCGCCGUCAAGCCCGGGCAGGGCGGUGCUUCCGAGGGCGCUCCGAUUGUCCGGGAUGGCCUCGUCGAGGGAAGGACGAAGUAGGGCUCGGAUCCCGCGCGGCCUACUCGAGCCUAUUAGCCGUACCGAGGUGGCGUCGCUUCUCCCUGAGUUUCUUUAAACGGGAGCGCGACGGGCUUUGGCAACGCGUGCUCGGGGAGGAAGGAAAAAAAAAUAAGAGGGAGGGAUUUCUUGCCUCCCGUCGGCGUUCAUCGGAUCCCCGGCUGCAAAAACUUGAAACGGCAGCCUCUCCGGAAUGGACUCACCGGACAAAGCUGCAUAAUCGCGACCGGGCUUUGCAAAUUCUUUGGAAAGGCUUCGACAGGCUAGAUCGCUCUUAAGUGCUCUUCUCGGGAAUAGUGAGGACGACAACCGACAUCGACUUUGAUUGCUUAUUUAACUCCCAUCGAUGCAUGUUAUUUCACACGUUGAAUAGUUAAGUCUGAAGACGGAUUCUCAUCAUUGGAAGGCUAUGAAUGCUACCUGGCUCUCUCUUCGGCUUCGCGAGAGCGAAUGCUGCCCGUAAUCUGCAUUCACAUUUUACUAAGUGCCCCCAAAUCCCUUGGGCAGUAUUCCGGUGGGGAUAGAACUGUAUGUUUAUGGCACAUAUUUUUUUUUAAAAGUCCUUGGGGUUAAAAAUAUUGCAUAAGCUUUAUUGUGACUAUAAGUAGCAGUGUUGUCUCCUAUACUUUCGUGUGAUCCAUAUAUUCUUAAGCGGUGCUUCUGCAUUAGAAUGGCAAAUAGUGUAGAACAUUAGCGUUUCCUAAGUAAAUUUCAAGUAAAGAUUCCUUCCAGAAAAUGGUGAGGAAAGAAAAUGGAACACUAAAAUGGGAAAUUUUUCCCCCUCAGGUGGUGCGCAUUCAAGCAUCCUGACCCUGCUUUCCAUCACAUUUUGUUUAGAACAAUGUCAUUUGUGAUGUUUUCUGCCAUUGUAAGGUACCAAUGUCCAUCCAACCCAUCAGAAAAUAAACAAUGCGUUUCAAAAGCAAACGGUAGAUCUUUCCAAGAAGAAAGUAAUAGAGGGAGCAACUCGAGGCUCCCAUGUAACACCACUCCUGCGCAAGCUGCACUAGCUUCCGGUGUUGGUUACCACCUUUAAAGCACUCCAACACCUUUAAAGCACUCCAAGGCAUAGGACCGGGUUAUUUACAGGACCGCCUGCUGCUACCAAUUGCCUCCCAUCGACCUGUGCGCUCCCAUAGGGACUGGCAACCCCUGGGGGAGGGCCUUCUCUGUGGGGGCUCCUGCCCUCUGGAACGAGCUGCCUCCAGGGACCUUCCGAAGCGAGCUAAAGACAUUUUUGUUUCAUCGUGCAGGGCUGGCUUAAUAUAGUUUUAAUGAGGGGGGGGUUAUUAAAGUUUUUAGUUUCUUAGCCAAAUUGAAUUAGUUUUUUUUUUUUAAAGUUUUUAAUUUUUGUGAUUCCUUGUUUUACUUGUCUGUAAACCACCCUUCAGGAGAAGGGCGGUAUAUAAAUUAAAAUAAUAAAAAUAAAUAAAUAAAUAAUGAAGCCCAGAGUGAUAGCAAACUGUACCCUUAAAUCUGUUGAGAGAAAUUGUGCAAAACGUGGUCCUUCCAGGAGAAAUUUGCCAUGCCUUGCUGACAGUUUUCUCCUUUGAAAGAUGUUAAGAGUAAGGCACAAUUGGAUCAGCUAUACUGGAUUUAGUGCUAAGAGGACAUAGCAAUAGCACUUAGACUCUCAUACUGCUUCACAGUGCUUUUACAGCCCUCUAAGCAGUUUACAGAGUCAGCCAAUUGCCCCCAACAAUUUGGUUCCUCAUUUUACCCACGUGGGAAAGAUGGAAGGCUGAGUCAACCUUGAGCCUGGUGAGAUUUGAACUGCAGCUAGCAGUCAGCUGAAGUAGCCUGCAGUACUGCACUCUAACCACUACACCACCUUGGCACCCUGCGCCUCAUGGAAGGAGCAGGAACAUUAUGGAACAGUCACUAUGUAAAUGCUGGAGUUCUUGAUUCGAAAAGAAUCCAAAACUAAGCACACAUCUUGGAAUGUUAAGAACUGGAUUUGUCCAAGUAUUUAUUAGAUUCCACAUGAAUCAGGUAAUAGGAAAGAAAGCUGAAGGCGGAUGAAAAUUUCUAAUGGAGAUUUUAUGAGUUGCAAAAAGUAAAAUGGGUGGUUGAUGCUGACUGUUGAUGCCAGAUUUUUUUUUUAAAGGACUUGUCAGAAAAUGCAAGAAUGCCAAGUCACAAUAUACAGUCAGGUAAUAUAGAACCGCAGAGCUCAUGUAAAUACAGUAAAAAUUAUCAGAAUGUGCUGAUGUUAGUAAAGAAUACUAAAAAUAACAAAGGGCUUCCUUCGAUACAUUCAAACUAAAAUAAAAUUGCUAUACCAACUCCUCAAUGAAAACAAAAUGUUUUAACAGGUUAGAAAUGACAAAGGCUAAUCAGUCUUUAACCAAAAAGUGUUUCAUCAUAAAAUUGUAAUAAAGGCCGGAACUGAAGUUUGCAACUGACAGAAAAAUGAUCAGAAAAUACUUGUUUACCUUAAUGAAUGUAAUUAUUUGGGAUCAGAAUUGCAUCAGUUUUAAUCACUAUAGAAUAUCUUUAAUGUGACAUAUCAGGCAAUUGGAGGAUAACUAGUAUCCCAGCCUUCAAAAGUAAGAUUCCCAGAUUAAAUCUUAGCUUAUUUUUGAUUGAGUAAUUUUCUUGAUAUUGGGACUAGGUGUAUCUUGAUUUCAACAAAGCCUCUGACAGAAUAUCCCAUGCUAUCUUGAUUAACAAACUAAUUAAGCACAGGUAGUCCUUGGCGUGCAUCCAUUGUUCAGCUAUUGUUUGAACUUGCAACUGUGCACUAAAUGAGUGGUACUUACGACCAGUCCUCACAGUUCCAACUGUUGCAGUGUCCCUGUGAUGGUGAUCUGAGUGCAUAGUGCCCGAUUUGCAGUUUAUGAUAUUGCAGUGAGCUGCUAUUACAUGAUUGUGAUUCCUGGUGUCCCCUGCUAGUUUCCCAUGAGCAGAAUCAGUGGGGAAGCUGGCAGGAAGUUGUAGUCAUGUGAGGUCUUUGCUUAAUGAUGGCAAACUGGGACUGCUGGAGUUGCAAGCAGCGUGGUCACAUGAUGCUGUGUUUUAUGACUGAAUCAGUAAUGGCAAUUUCAGUCCUAAUUGUCAUUAAUGGAGGAUAGCUUGGAUACAGCAAGACAGUUUAAGUGGAUACAGAACUUCUUGAAAACUGUAUUUAAAUAGUGCUCAAUUAAUGGAGCCUCAUCAAAUUGGAGAAGGAUAUUAAAUAAAUACCACAAGGAUCA